This 253-nucleotide ribosomal RNA is filed under the name uncultured bacterium. RNAcentral's name for it is "partial 16S ribosomal RNA". It matches the Rfam family "Bacterial small subunit ribosomal RNA", at positions 524 to 776 of the family's 1533-position model. The record is from RNAcentral.
UACAGAGGUCUCAAGCGUUGUUCGGAUUCAUUGGGCGUAAAGGGCGCGUAGGCGGCGGGGUAAGUCGGGUGUGAAAUCUCAGAGCUCAACUCUGAAACUGCACUCGAUACUGCUCUGCUUGAGGACUGGAGAGGAGACUGGAAUUCACGGUGUAGCAAUGAAAUGCGUAGAUAUCGUGAGGAAGACCAGUGGCGAAGGCGGGUCUCUGGGCAGUUCCUGACGCUGAGGCGCGAAGGCCAGGGGAGCAAACGGG